UGAGGAACCAAAGGUCUCAGCUGAGUAGCAGCCUCCUGUCCACCUCUUUGGGUGGGAGAUAAGCCUGGCUUUUGGUGAGAUACACUUCUCCUGCCGUUGGCCAGACCAGGUCCCCAUGCUUCUGUGGCUGCUGCUGCUGAUCCUGGACACAGGUAGGAAGACAUGGGAAGUGAGCGGAGCUGGAUUCCCAGGACAAUCAAAAGCCUCCAAAUAUAACCGUCAGACCAAGAAAGGUAUGUUGCCCUUGGUUUCUCACCCAUUGCUUUCUUUAUCUUGUAAGAAACUUGGAUUUUUCUUUCUGCCAAAU
Long non-coding RNA from Lemur catta (Ring-tailed lemur), 307 nucleotides. RefSeq lists it as uncharacterized. The record is from RefSeq and is a predicted model, not a curated record. The transcript is spliced from 3 exons. NCBI's taxonomy places the organism in Eukaryota, Metazoa, Chordata, Mammalia, Primates, Lemuridae.